AAUCAACGCUGGCGGCGUGCCUCAGACAUGCAAGUCGAACGAUUAAAGCUCUCUUCGGAGAGUGCAUAGAGUGGCGCACGGGUGAGUAACACGUAAGUAAUCUACCUUCGAGUGGGAGUAACGUCCGGAACGGACGCUAAUACCGCAUAAUGCAGCGGCAUCGCAAGAAUGACAGUUGUUAAAGGAGCAAUUCGCUUGAAGAGGAGCUUGCGGCAGAUUAGCUUGUUGGUAAGGUAACGGCUUACCAA
This 248-nucleotide ribosomal RNA is filed under the name uncultured bacterium. Its description in RNAcentral is "partial 16S ribosomal RNA". It matches the Rfam family "Bacterial small subunit ribosomal RNA", at positions 32 to 271 of the family's 1533-position model. The record is from RNAcentral.